RNAcentral lists this long non-coding RNA (271 nucleotides) under Vigna radiata. Its description in RNAcentral is "long non-coding RNA (VRAD_LNC012539)". Lineage: Eukaryota; Viridiplantae; Streptophyta; Magnoliopsida; Fabales; Fabaceae. The record is from RNAcentral.
UUCCUGUACAGGAGAUGGCACCAGGCGCAUGCCAUAGGUCUCAAACUGCUGCUAGAACAUGGAGCUGAACUCACUAUACAAUUCAGCUCUAAGCUAUGAUCUAACCUUGUUUGUGUCCGUAAGGUCGGCUCAAACCUUUUUUGCGAUCUCUUGUGUCAUCCUUUCUCUUUGUUCUUCGCUGUAUGCAUAUGAAGGCUGACGAGAAGAGCUCCCAAAAUAAUCUCGAAUUCCUACUCCAGGACCAGCAGCACGUACACGUCUAGGGUGCUUA